UAUGUCCUACGGGACGCAGCAGGGAAUAUUGCACAAUGGGGGAAACCCUGAUGCAGCGACGCCGCGUGAGCGAUGAAGUAUUUCGGUAUGUAAAGCUCUAUCAGCAGGGAAGAAAAUGACGGUACCUGACUAAGAAGCCCCGGCUAACUACGUGCCAGCAGCCGCGGUAAUACGUAGGGGGCAAGCGUUAUCCGGAUUUACUGGGUGUAAAGGGAGCGUAGACGGUCCUGCAAGCCAGAUGUG
RNAcentral lists this ribosomal RNA (243 nucleotides) under uncultured bacterium. Its description in RNAcentral is "partial 16S ribosomal RNA". It matches the Rfam family "Bacterial small subunit ribosomal RNA", at positions 333 to 596 of the family's 1533-position model. The record is from RNAcentral.